GAUGAGAACGUAGCGAAAUGCGAUACGUAAUGUGAAUUGCAGAAUUCAGUGAAUCAUCGAGUCUUUGAACGCACAUUGCGCCCCCUGGUAUUCCGGGGGGCAUGCCUGUCCGAGCGUCAUUGCUGCCCUCAAGCACGGCUUGUGUGUUGGGCCUCCGUCCUCCUCCCGGGGGACGGGCCCGAAAGGCAGCGGCGGCACCGCGUCCGGUCCUCGAGCGUAUGGGGCUUCGUCACCCGCUCUUGUAGGCCCGGCCGGCGCUUGCCGACACAUCAAUCUUUUUUCCAGGUUGACCUCGGAUCAGGUAGGGAUACCCGCUGAACUUAAGCAUAUCAAUAAGCGGAGGA
This 344-nucleotide unclassified non-coding RNA is filed under the name soil metagenome. RNAcentral's name for it is "partial contains 5.8S ribosomal RNA, internal transcribed spacer 2, and large subunit ribosomal RNA". The stretch from base 5 to 119 matches the Rfam family "5.8S ribosomal RNA", at positions 40 to 154 of the family's 154-position model. The record is from RNAcentral.